GAUGAAGAACGCAGCGAAAUGCGAUAAGUAGUGUGAAUUGCAGAAUUCAGUGAAUCAUCGAAUCUUUGAACGCACAUUGCGCCCGCCAGUAUUCUGGCGGGCAUGCCUGUCUGAGCGUCAUUUCAACCCUCGCAACCAGCUUGCUGGAUGCGGUGUUGGGGAUCGGCCCCCCGUACUGGGAGGCCGUCCCUUAAAUAGAGUGGCGGUUGCGCUGUGACCUCCUCUGCGUAGUAGCAAUAUCUCGCAGGCGGAUAGCGGUGUAACCACGCCGUAAAACCCCCAACUCUUCUUUGGUUGACCUCAGAUCAGGUAGGAAUACCCGCUGAACUUAAGCAUAUCAAUAAGCGGAGGA
Molecule: unclassified non-coding RNA, 352 nt
Filed under: soil metagenome
Description: partial contains 5.8S ribosomal RNA, internal transcribed spacer 2, and large subunit ribosomal RNA
Rfam family: 5.8S ribosomal RNA (bases 1-120)
Source: RNAcentral